AUUGAACGCUGGCGGCAGGCCUAACACAAGCAAGUCGAGCGGAUGAAGGGAGCUUGCUCCUGGAUUCAGCGGCGGACGGGUGAGUAAUGCCUAGGAAUCUGCCUGGUAGUGGGGGAUAACGUCCGGAAACGGGCGCUAAUACCGCAUACGUCCUGAGGGAGAAAGUGGGGGAUCUUCGGACCUCACGCUAUCAGAUGAGCCUAGGUCGGAUUAGCUAGUUGGUGGGGUAAAGGCCUACCAAGGCGACGAUCCGUAACUGGUCUGAGAGGAUGAUCAGUCACACUGGAACUGAGACACGGUCCAGACUCCUACGGGAGGCAGCAGUGGGGAAUAUUGGACCAUGGGCGAAAGCCUGAUCCAGCCAUGCCGCGUGUGUGAAGAAGGUCUUCGGAUUGUAAAGCACUUUAAGUUGGGAGGAAGGGCAGUAAGUUAAUACCUUGCUGUUUUGACGUUACCAACAGAAUAAGCACCGGCUAACUUCGUG
This 484-nucleotide ribosomal RNA is filed under the name uncultured bacterium. Its description in RNAcentral is "partial 16S ribosomal RNA". It matches the Rfam family "Bacterial small subunit ribosomal RNA", at positions 30 to 507 of the family's 1533-position model. The record is from RNAcentral.